RNAcentral lists this ribosomal RNA (380 nucleotides) under uncultured bacterium. RNAcentral's name for it is "bacterial SSU rRNA". It matches the Rfam family "Bacterial small subunit ribosomal RNA", at positions 30 to 405 of the family's 1533-position model. The record is from RNAcentral.
AUUGAACGCUGGCGGCAGGCCUAACACAUGCAAGUCGAACGGUAACAGGAAGCAGCUUGCUGCUUCGCUGACGAGUGGCGGACGGGUGAGUAAUGUCUGGGAAGCUGCCUGAUGGAGGGGAUAACUACUGGAAACGGUAGCUAAUACCGCAUAAUGUCGCAAGACCAAAAGAGGGGGACCUUCGGGCCUCUUGCCAUCGGAUGUGCCCAGAUGGGAUUAGCUUGUUGGUGGGGUAACGGCUCACCAAGGCGACGAUCCCUAGCUGGUCUGAGAGGAUGACCAGCCACACUGGAACUGAGACACGGUCCAGACUCCUACGGAGGCAGCAGUGGGAAUAUUGCACAAUGGGCGCGAAGCCUGAUGCAGCCAUGCCGCGUGUA